CCAGAGAUGGCGGGCCCCCGCGCCCCCGUCCCCAACCCUUUGUUGACCAAACCACUUUUGCCUCGGGGGUGGAGCGGCCUCCGCCGCCCCCGGUGGACCAUUCAACUCUGUCUCUUUGCGUCGGAGUCUUUGAUAAAUAAAUGA
RNAcentral lists this unclassified non-coding RNA (144 nucleotides) under uncultured fungus. Its description in RNAcentral is "sequence contains ITS1, 5.8S rRNA gene". Lineage: Eukaryota; Fungi. The record is from RNAcentral.